AACGCACAUUGCGCCCGCCGGUAUUCCGGCGGGCAUGCCUGUUCGAGCGUCAUUUCAACCAUCAAGCCCCCGGGCUUGCGUUGGGGACCUGCGGCUGCGCGCAGGCCCCGAAAACCAGUGGCGGGCUCGCCGACACACCGAGCGUAGUAGUUUACACCUCGCUUAGGUCGUCGCGGCGGGCGCUGGCCGUUAAACCCCCCCAUCUCACCAAAGGUUGACCUCGGAUCAGGUAGGAAUACCCGCUGAACUUAA
Molecule: unclassified non-coding RNA, 252 nt
Filed under: uncultured fungus
Lineage: Eukaryota; Fungi
Description: partial contains 5.8S ribosomal RNA, internal transcribed spacer 2, and large subunit ribosomal RNA
Rfam family: 5.8S ribosomal RNA (bases 1-52)
Source: RNAcentral